UAAAGCCAAAGACCUCCUAAGCCGUCAUACGCUCACGGAGGCACGAAGCCCAAACACGAAAGUAGCUUUACCAAACAUGCCCGACUCCACGAAAGCUGGGAAACAAACUGGGAUUAGAUACCCCACUAUGCCCAGCCCUAAACUUAGAUGAAAUUUUACAAAAUCAUCCGCCAGGGGACUACAAGCACAGCUUAAAACCCAAAGGACUUGGCGGUGCCUCAGAUCCACCUAGAGGAGCCUGUUCUAGAACCGAUAACCCCCGUUAAACCUCACCACCCCUUGUUUUUCCCGCCUAUAUACCGCCGUCGCCAGCUUACCCUGUGAAGGUUUAACAGUAAGCAAAAUGGGUUCAACCCAAAACGUCAGGUCGAGGUGUAGCGCAUGGGGUGGGAAGAAAUGGGCUACAUUUUCUACCACAGAAUAUUACGAAUGGUGUCCUGAAAUAUAAUACCUGAAGGAGGAUUUAGUAGUAAAAAGCAAAUAGAGUGUCUUUUUGAAUUAGGCUCUGAGGCGCGCACACACCGCCCGUCACUC
RNAcentral lists this ribosomal RNA (534 nucleotides) under Hypostomus alatus. RNAcentral describes it as "partial small subunit ribosomal RNA". It matches the Rfam family "Bacterial small subunit ribosomal RNA", at positions 657 to 1402 of the family's 1533-position model. The record is from RNAcentral. Lineage: Eukaryota; Metazoa; Chordata; Actinopteri; Siluriformes; Loricariidae.